Molecule: long non-coding RNA, 576 nt
Organism: Hordeum vulgare subsp. vulgare (domesticated barley)
Lineage: Eukaryota; Viridiplantae; Streptophyta; Magnoliopsida; Poales; Poaceae
Exons: 3
Source: RefSeq, a predicted model, not a curated record
CUGAAGUUGUAUUGUAUUCAAUGAACUUGGAAACAAAGACAAGCCGGUGGCCAAAGGAACUUUAGUGAGUAAAGAUAAAACAUAUGUGGUUGGAGGAGACAUGCUUGGAGUGCAAUACGUUGCAGUUCUUGUUCGUGGCUAUACAUAUCUAGCAAAUGAGAGACUAGUUAGACCAUAUGAAAAAUUCCAAACAGUAAAGGAUGCUUUUGGUUCUGUUAUUGCUUGGCCUCGCUCACAUGUAAAAGUAGUUAAGCCAACCACUCCAGCACAACCACAAAGCAUUGGGUGAUGAUGACUUGAAAAGGGAGUGCAUUAAAGGAGUUAGGAGUAGUUGAGCAGUGGACCAGUUGUCUAUAUGAAAAGGGAGUGCAUUGGAGGAGUUGCGAGCAGUUGAUGAAUCUAUCUUUGAAUGAACAAUAUUAUGCAUUAUGUAAAGAUUUUAGAUCGUCGAGAAACAUAGUUGUUAUUUAUAGGAUAUUUUCUUAUUUAUUUGCACAAGCGCAUGUUUCAUAUGAAUGUUUGGUAUUAUCCAGUUGUAAACUCCACGUACUUUAUGUGGAUACAUUGUUUCUUCUA